UACGUAGGGUGCGAGCGUUGUCCGGAAUUAUUGGGCGUAAAGGGCUCGUAGGCGGUUUGUCGCGUCGGGGGUGAAAACUCAGGGCUUAACCCUGAGCCUGCUUCCGAUACGGGCAGACUAGAGGUAUGCAGGGGAGAACGGAAUUCCUGGUGUAGCGGUGAAAUGCGCAGAUAUCAGGAGGAACACCGGUGGCGAAGGCGGUUCUCUGGGCAUUACCUGACGCUGAGGAGCGAAAGUGUGGGGAGCGAACAGG
This 253-nucleotide ribosomal RNA is filed under the name uncultured bacterium. Its description in RNAcentral is "partial 16S ribosomal RNA". It matches the Rfam family "Bacterial small subunit ribosomal RNA", at positions 524 to 776 of the family's 1533-position model. The record is from RNAcentral.